Molecule: ribosomal RNA, 466 nt
Filed under: uncultured bacterium
Lineage: Bacteria
Description: partial 16S ribosomal RNA
Rfam family: Bacterial small subunit ribosomal RNA
Source: RNAcentral
GAUGAACGCUGGCGGCGUGCUUAACACAUGCAAGUCGAACGGAAAGGCUCCUGCUUGCAGGGGUACUCGAGUGGCGAACGGGUGAGUAACACGUGGGUGAUCUGCCCUGCACUUCGGGAUAAGCCUGGGAAACUGGGUCUAAUACCGGAUAGGACGAUGGUUUGGAUGCCAUUGUGGAAAGUUUUUUCGGUGUGGGGUGAGCUCGCGGCCUAUCAGCUUGUUGGUGGGGUAAUGGCCUACCAAGGCGUCGACGGGUAGCCGGCCUGAGAGGGUGUACGGCCACAUUGGGACUGAGAUACGGCCCAGACUCCUACGGGAGGCAGCAGUGGGGAAUAUUGCACAAUGGGCGCAAGCCUGAUGCAGCGACGCCGCGUGGGGGAUGACGGCCUUCGGGUUGUAAACUCCUUUCGCUAGGGACGAAGCGCAAGUGACGGUACCUGGAGAAGAAGCACCGGCUAACUACGUG